AUGUACAAAAGCCUCAAAGAGAAUCAGGCAUUUUGUGAUGUGCUUAAAAAGCAGAUCCUCAAUAGGAACCCUAGGAAAGAGGGUAUUGCCUUUGAGAGGAAACUCAAUGCUGAUGGGACCUACUGGAAACCUGAGCAGUAUCACAAAACCUCAUGGGUUGCUACAAAGGGACCUCCCGUAGAUCCAUCUACUUUAUCUGGUUUUACAUGUGAAUCUUCAUAUUCUUAUGAUGAGUCAUUUGACUCCAAUUAUAAAUUGUUAAAAAAUCAGAAUGGUGAAGUAUUUGAUAGAUAUGGCACUAACUGCAGGAACGGUCCCCCUAUGAAGAAAAUCUGGGUUCCCAAAAGGUGCCAUGAAAGUCUUCAGGUGAAUGUCAUCAUGACACCACCUGUGAAGAAUAGGAACCUAGAUCAAAUUCUUCAUAUGGACCAAAGUCUUCAUAUGGAUCCAAGUCCUCAUAUGGACCACAUUCCUCACGUGGAUCAAAUUCCUCAUAUGGCUCAAAGUCCUCAUAUGAACAUCAUCAUGCUAACACUUAUGUCUCAUAGGGAAAGACAAAGGGUUAUGAAUAUGUGCAUUAUUCUUCAAAUCAUUAUGUUCAUAAGUCCUCGAAGAAUUUCUCUGCUUAUUCAUAUGCUUACCCUAACCCCUCUUAUGUGA
Molecule: ribosomal RNA, 660 nt
Filed under: Triticum aestivum (bread wheat)
Lineage: Eukaryota; Viridiplantae; Streptophyta; Magnoliopsida; Poales; Poaceae
Description: partial small subunit ribosomal RNA
Source: RNAcentral